Molecule: ribosomal RNA, 397 nt
Filed under: uncultured bacterium
Lineage: Bacteria
Description: partial 16S ribosomal RNA
Rfam family: Bacterial small subunit ribosomal RNA
Source: RNAcentral
AUACGUAGGGGGCGAGCGUUGUCCGGAAUGAUUGGGCGUAAAGGGCGCGUAGGCGGCCCGGUAAGUCUGGAGUGAAAGUCCUGUUUUUAAGAUGGGAAUUGCUUUGGAUACUGUCGGGCUUGAGUGCAGGAGAGGUCAGUGGAAUUCACAGUGUAGCGGUGAAAUGCGUAGAGAUUGGGAGGAACACCAGUGGCGAAGGCGACUUACUGGACUGUAACUGACGCUGAGGCGCGAAAGUGUGGGGAGCAAACAGGAUUAGAUACCCUGGUAGUCCACACUGUAAACGAUGAAUGCUAGGUGUAGGGGGUAUCGACCCCUUCUGUGCCGCAGUCAACACAAUAAGCAUUCCGCCUGGGGAGUACGGCCGCAAGGUUGAAACUCAAAUGAAUUGACGGGG